RNAcentral lists this long non-coding RNA (773 nucleotides) under Homo sapiens (human). Its description in RNAcentral is "HSALNT0041274". Lineage: Eukaryota; Metazoa; Chordata; Mammalia; Primates; Hominidae. The record is from RNAcentral.
UAAAACUGAAACUGAGAGAGAGAGAAAGAGAGAGCACACGUGCCCUUUCAUAAUUCUCCAAGGGGAUAAUUAUCAGCUUUUUUUUUUUUCUCCUGAGCUCAGUUGCAGUCCAGCCUAUUUCUUCAAGAAUUAUAAUUAACUCCUCUCUGUUUUUUGCCUUAGCUAGCCUAAGUAGAUUUCUCUUGUUUACAACCCAACACACCCGUAUUAUGCCCCUCCGUUGUUGCCAUUCAUGGUAUACCAGUUCCAUGCCCUGUGGGAGGUGCUGUCUCUGGCUUGAAAGCCAAUGGGCCUCAAGUGUCAAAGAACAAAGGAGCCCAAAAGGCUGGAGCUAUUCACCCAAGUCUCCAAUUGUGUAAGUGAUCCAGAAGGAACAACUAAUUAACUUAUUGGCUGCUGUGGCAGGCAGCUUUUUAAGAUGCCCUGGAUGAUACAUGACUCUUAUUAUUUACAUCCUUGUGUGACCAUUUCCCUCUGAAUGUGUGCUAGACCAGUGACUUGCUUCUAAUCAAUGGAAUAUGGCAAAAAUGAUGGAUGAGAUUAAGCUAUGAAGAACUGUGGUUUCUGUCUUAUUCCCUUUUUUUUUUUUUAACCAUGCAACAAAACGCUUAUUAACAUUUUGAGCAGGUUCAGCUAUUACCGAAACUGGUAAUUUAUAAACUUAAAUUGGGGCAAAUGGCUUUAGUGCAGAGUAGUGCCAUCACUUGUCACUACGAAUGCAAGACUGAAGAAUUAAUAGCCACCCCUCAGAUGGAGGACCAGGUGCAGGGCUG